This 1237-nucleotide long non-coding RNA is filed under the name Theobroma cacao (cacao). RNAcentral describes it as "long non-coding RNA (TCAC_LNC005480)". The record is from RNAcentral. Lineage: Eukaryota; Viridiplantae; Streptophyta; Magnoliopsida; Malvales; Malvaceae.
UUUUCUUCUUCUUUUCUUCUCUUUCACGUUGCUUCCAACCUCCAUGGAAGCUUGAUAUGAACCUCCAUAACCUCCCUCAAAAUAGCUCAACUUUUCAUGCUUUUGGUGCACCCUUUCAUAAAUCUUUGUGCUCUUCCACUCUCUCUCUUUAAAACCCUUGAAAAAUCUUAUUUCCAUACUCUCUCUCACUAGUUAGGUGUUUUAGAGAGAGAAAGAGGAAGCUUUAUUAAUAGCUUGAAAAUUUUUGGAAAGAAUUUCAAGCACAAAGCUACCAAGGUGAGUGGUGAACUAGAAUUGAUUUUUAGUGUUGAAAAUGAUUAGUGUUUAGACUUGUGGGUGUUUUGGUAGUUGAGGUUGGAAAUUCACUUUGGAGUGAUUAGGAUAGUGAAAAUGGAUAGCCAUUUAAUGGCACUUGGAAACUAGUAGGUGAUAGCUUGUAGAACUUGUAAUUAUGAGAAUUGAGUUAAUUGUGAUGUUAAUGUGAUGAUAGGUUCCAACGAAGCCCCACCGUCCCAUUUGGACCAUUAGGGAAGUUAGAAUCGACUAAAGGUUCAACGAAAUACUGGUGAGUGGACUUGCAUUUCAAACUUGUUUUGGGAAUGCGAAUGUGUUUGCACAAGAUAUUUGAAUGAUUUUAUCAAACUUUUCUUUGCAAAUGUGUGCCAGGGAACAAGCCUUGAUUAAAUAUUUUUGAUAUUGUGAAAUGUGAGAUGUGUAUAAGGAUGAAUCCGUAUGCUUUAUAGUAUGUUGGUAGGUGUGUAUAUAUCUUAUGAAUAUGUGUUGUGUAUUGAUGAAUGAUGUUGGGUGGUAAUGUUGAAGUGUGCGAGUAGAGAGUGCACACAUGAUGAUGAUAGAGUGUGCGUGUAGGAAGUGCACACAUGAUGAUAAUAGAGUGUGCAAGUAGGGAGUGCACACAUGAUGACGAUGUAUGUAUAUAUAAUUGUGUGUGUUAUAGAAAGCUCAUGAAUGUGGUUUAUGGUUGUAAUGCAUGUUAAAUUUGGCAUGAUGAAUCUUGAGAAUUUCUCAUUUUCUUGCAAAUUGAUUUUUAUGGCAACACCAAAUGGAUUUUUAGUGAAAAGGAGGUCUUUUUUACACUUAGGUGCCCUGCUUCUCAUUGCAGCGAGAAACAUUCUGUUUUGGCAGCCAACAACUCGCUGCAGUGAAAAACUCUUGGGUUUUGGUGUAGUACUUUCACUUCGAUGAAGAUUUUGACUAUAUUCCCAUCUGAACUGAGAAA